This 3160-nucleotide unclassified non-coding RNA is filed under the name Hevea brasiliensis (rubber tree). Lineage: Eukaryota; Viridiplantae; Streptophyta; Magnoliopsida; Malpighiales; Euphorbiaceae. The record is from RNAcentral.
GUGCAGGCCUUGCUAUGAGUAUGAGAGAAGAGAGGGAAAUCAAGCCUGCCCUCAGUGCAAAACCAGAUACAAGCGCAUUAAAGGUAGUCCUAGGGUUGAUGGUGAUGAGGAAGAAGAUGAUAUUGAUGAUUUGGAGCAUGAGUUUGAUUAUGGAAACUUUGAUGGCCUAGGUCCAGAACAAGUUGCAGAAGCAAUGCUCUCUGCACGCCUUAAUACUGGGCUUGCUUCUCAUUCUAGUGUGUCUGGAAUUCCCGCACACUCAGAACUUGAUUCUUCUCCCCUUAGCUCUAAAAUUCCACUUUUGACAUAUGGCGAGGAGGAUGCUGAAAUUUCUUCCGACCAACAUGCUCUUAUUGUGCCCCCAUACAUGGUUCAUGGAAACAGAGUUCACCCGAUGCCUUAUUCUGAUCCAUCAAUACCCUUGCAACCUAGACCUAUGGUUCCUAAGAAAGACAUAGCUGUUUAUGGGUAUGGGAGUGUUGCUUGGAAAGAUAGAAUGGAAGAUUGGAAGAAAAGGCAGAGUGAAAAGCUUCAGGUGGUCAAGCAUGAAGGAGGAAACGGUGGUGGAAACUUUGAUGGACAUGAAUUGGAUGAUCCUGAUUUGCCCAUGAUGGAUGAAGGCAGACAGCCACUUUCAAGGAAGUUACCCAUACCAUCAAGCAAGAUAAGCCCAUACAGAUUGAUAAUCAUUCUCCGCCUUGUAAUUCUUGGCUUGUUUUUCCACUAUAGAAUUCUCCACCCAGUCAAUGAUGCCUAUGGUUUGUGGUUGACAUCAGUAAUAUGCGAAAUAUGGUUUGCAGUAUCAUGGAUUCUUGAUCAGUUUCCAAAAUGGCACCCUAUAGAACGAGAAACAUACCUUGAUCGGCUGUCACUAAGGUAUGAAAAAGAAGGAAAGCCAUCUGAAUUGGCUAGUGUAGAUAUAUUUGUGAGUACUGUUGAUCCAUUGAAAGAGCCCCCACUGAUCACUGCAAACACUGUUCUCUCGAUACUUGCGGUUGAUUAUCCUGUGGAUAAGGUUGCGUGCUAUGUGUCAGACGAUGGUGCUGCCAUGCUGACAUUUGAGGCACUCUCUGAGACAUCUGAAUUUGCAAGGAAAUGGGUUCCUUUCUGUAAGAAAUUUAAUAUUGAGCCCCGAGCACCUGAGUGGUAUUUUUCUCAGAAGAUUGACUAUUUAAAAAAUAAAGUCCACCCAUCUUUUGUGAGGGAGAGGCGUGCAAUGAAGAGAGAAUACGAAGAAUUCAAAGUUCGGAUAAAUGGACUGGUUGCCACUGCACAGAAAGUUCCAGAAGAUGGUUGGACAAUGCAGGAUGGAACUCCAUGGCCUGGCAACAAUGUACGAGAUCAUCCUGGCAUGAUACAGGUCUUCCUUGGCCAUAGUGGUGUCCGUGAUGUGGAAGGGAAUGAGUUACCUCGUUUGGUUUACGUUUCUCGUGAGAAGAGACCAGGUUUUGAACACCAUAAAAAGGCUGGGGCUAUGAAUGCUCUGGUUCGGGUGUCUGCAGUUCUGUCAAAUGCUCCUUAUCUUUUGAAUGUUGAUUGUGAUCACUAUAUUAACAAUAGCAAAGCUCUUAGGGAAGCUAUGUGUUUCAUGAUGGAUCCAACAUCAGGAAAGAAAGUUUGCUAUGUGCAAUUUCCUCAAAGAUUUGAUGGUAUUGAUCGUCAUGAUAGAUACUCAAAUCGGAAUGUUGUAUUCUUCGAUAUCAACAUGAAAGGAUUAGAUGGUUUGCAAGGACCGAUAUAUGUUGGAACUGGGUGUGUUUUUCGAAGGCAGGCACUUUAUGGUUAUGAUGCACCUGUCAAGAAGAAGCCCCCUGGUAAGACCUGCAACUGUUGGCCAAAAUGGUGCUGCCUCUGCUGUGGAUCCAGAAAGAACAAGAAAUCGAAGCCAAAGAAGGAGAAGAAAAAGAAGUCGAACAGGGAAGCAUCAAAGCAGAUACACGCUCUGGAAAAUAUUGAAGAAGGAAUUGAAGAUUCAACUACUGAAAAAUCUUCAGAAACAUCCCAAAUGAAAUUGGAGAAGAAGUUUGGACAGUCUCCAGUGUUUGUGGCUUCCACUAUUUUGGAGAAUGGUGGAGUUCCUCAAGAUGCCAGUCCUGCAUCACUGUUGAGAGAAGCCAUCCAAGUUAUCAGCUGUGGUUAUGAAGAUAAAACAGAAUGGGGAAAGGAAGUUGGCUGGAUAUAUGGCUCUGUGACUGAGGAUAUCCUGACAGGAUUCAAGAUGCACUGCCAUGGAUGGCGGUCUGUGUACUGCAUACCUAAGCGGCCUGCAUUUAAGGGGUCAGCUCCUAUUAAUCUGUCAGAUCGUCUAAACCAGGUUCUUCGGUGGGCCCUUGGGUCUGUGGAAAUUUUCUUGAGCAGACACUGUCCUCUCUGGUAUGGGUAUGGAGGAGGCCGUCUCAAAUGGCUUCAAAGGCUGGCAUAUGUAAACACCAUCGUUUAUCCUUUUACAUCUCUCCCUCUCAUUGCCUACUGUACACUCCCUGCAAUUUGUCUUCUCACAGGAAAGUUCAUCAUACCAACGGUAUUUUCUGUCGCUUUUUCUCUCCUCUUUUUUUUAACUAGAUCUUAGUCUUCUCAGUUUGCUUAUGAUAAAAAUCUGAGUCUUGUAAAACCUUCAAUUUGCCAAUAUGUGCUUCAGAAUCCUUUGUUUAAUGCACUAACUUGGCAUCAUACCUUGUUACUGAUCCAGCUCUCAAACCUGGCAAGCAUGCUAUUUCUUGGCCUCUUUAUCUCCAUUAUCGUAACUGCAGUGCUUGAGCUACGAUGGAGUGGUGUCAGUAUCGAAGAUUUGUGGCGCAACGAACAGUUCUGGGUGAUUGGAGGUGUUUCAGCCCAUCUUUUUGCUGUCUUCCAAGGAUUCUUGAAAAUGUUGGCCGGCAUUGAUACCAACUUCACUGUCACUGCAAAAGGAGCGGAUGAUACAGAAUUUGGCGAGCUCUACUUAGUCAAGUGGACAACGCUUUUGAUUCCUCCAACAACCCUUAUCAUUCUCAAUAUGGUUGGUGUUGUUGCUGGAUUCUCAGAUGCACUCAACAAAGGAUAUGAAGCAUGGGGACCUCUCUUUGGCAAGGUGUUUUUUGCCUUCUGGGUGAUUCUCCAUCUCUAUCCAUUCCUCAAAGGUCUCAUGGGCCGCCAAAACAGAACACCAACCAUUGUUGUU